CUUGGUUUGAUUGCAAACGAUACAAAUAGUUUACUACUUUAUAAGUGAACUUGAUGCGUAAUAUGACAUCUACGCUUAGACAUUACAUAUGUGGAAAUAUUAAUGAGCUUUUGGGACCUUGGACCAUAAUCUUUCAGUAGCUGCCUUAAUGUGCAGGGAAUGCAGUGACCGAUGCACUAUCAAUAACACAACUGACUGUCCUGCCUGAUUUAUUUUGCAGUCAUCCUGGAGAAAUCACUUUGUGGUUACGACUCAGCAAAUGUUGAGGAACGUACCUCUUGCCAAAAUUACUAAACCUGAAACUGGGUUGCUACUCAGCAGAAAGAAGAAAAAACAGGCAGCUGAAGUACGCUGGAAACAGUAUCCAUUUGGGAUUGCAGGAAAAAUCAAGUGAAGGAUAAAAAGUAGUCUGCAAACAAAUCAGGCAUGUUAAGGGUCAUGCAAUGCAUCAAACUAGAAAAAGGAUUUCCCCAAAGCAAGCAUGACUGUAAGUGGAAAACUUCCUUCAGGAAAUGGGAAGGCACCUGAGCGUUUUGCAGACCUGAGAUUGCAUCCAAAUGCCUUUGCAAGGAUCCAGGCAAAAAGACUUUCCUUCUGUCCUUUCCAGUGAGACUUCAGGCAGCAGAAGCACACGUCCUCAAAGGCCAGUGCCCACAGGAGAUUAUUUAUUUGGUGAGAGGAAGAGGGGAGCAAGAGAAAGGGAUAGGAAAAGGAAAACAUGAAUAAUGUUACUGGAUUUUGCCCUGCAGGUCAAGUAAUUACAUGGAAGUCUUGACUUCCUAUUUUUCUGGCUGUACCUCUAAUUAUCUUUCUUCCAUUUAAGCAUGUUUGUGUCUGUAAGCUUGAAAAUGGUAAUCUAAAAUAUAAGAUCAAAAGUUCACUAUUUGUGAUACCGCUCAGAAAUUAAAACUAAUGCACUUCGGGGUUAAAAUAAAAAACAAACCUAAUUUAUAAGGUUUUGAAUACCC
RNAcentral lists this long non-coding RNA (968 nucleotides) under Anas zonorhyncha (Eastern spot-billed duck). Its description in RNAcentral is "lncRNA (ENSAZOG00000016473.1)". Lineage: Eukaryota; Metazoa; Chordata; Aves; Anseriformes; Anatidae. The record is from RNAcentral.